This 739-nucleotide long non-coding RNA is filed under the name Corvus moneduloides (New Caledonian crow). RNAcentral describes it as "lncRNA (ENSCMUG00000014067.2)". Lineage: Eukaryota; Metazoa; Chordata; Aves; Passeriformes; Corvidae. The record is from RNAcentral.
CUUAGACUGCAUUUCUGUGACCAUCUGACCAGUCUGCCUAAAUUUAACCAGGUUAUGCCUCUGCAUUUCACAACUGGAGAGAGGAAAGGAAGACGCUUCAAGUACACAUAAAUUGUGAUGCAGCUUUCAAUUUCGUGGAUGUCACCAACAAAGAGACACAAGUCCAGGUGUUGUGACUGGGUUUCGUUCAUGCUGUCUGAGCCAACCAGAGGUCCUGAGGAAGUGUUUAGUGUGAACCAGAUGAAGCCUACUGAUGCUGACUUUCUGAACAGAGGGCUGGCAGAGGUCAGUACCACUCCAGCACUGGGGCAGGCAGCACGGUCAGAACUCACCCUGACACUGUUACCUUUCGUUUCAUUGCUUGCAGGAGGAAUGCAGUUUACAAAGUACAGAGGGAAUGCUUUCAACAUGGGCAUAUUGAUUAACAGGAAUUGUUUUCUUCCAUUUUCUUUCUAAUGUUUCUUUGCAUUGCCUAUUCAUCUACUCAUCCCGCAUUGACUGCACUUGAAGGUUAAGCUCAACAGAUUUGCAUGUGAAAAUUUCCAGUGCCACCUGUCGUCAGAGGCAACAGACAGGAAUUAGCAUGAUGCUGCAUGUCCUCAAAUACACUUUUCCUUUGAAAGAUGGGGAGAAUAAAUGUUGGUAUUUCACAUUUUAAAUGCUGUUGCAGAUUAGAAUUAAACUCUGGAGGGGCACACACAGAAAUGUUCGUUUCCGAUUUAUGCCUUUACUUCCCAAG